RNAcentral lists this long non-coding RNA (520 nucleotides) under Gallus gallus (chicken). Lineage: Eukaryota; Metazoa; Chordata; Aves; Galliformes; Phasianidae. The record is from RNAcentral.
CAGCUUUCUGGGCAUAGUAGAAGAGCUCAGAGAUGUUCUUGAGGUUCUUGGCAGAGCACUCCACACAGGUCUCAAUCUCCGAGAACUGGUUCAUGAUGGGCAGGAUGACUUCCAUGGAGCUCCCCAUCUGCAGGUCAGACUUGUUUCCAACUAAAAUAAUGGGGAUCCUGGCACCCUUUUCAGCUCCCCCGUUCACCAUGGGGAUCCAUUUUGUGCGAAUCUUCUCGAUUGUGGCUUCCUUGGUGACAUCAUACACCACGCAGACCACGUUGGCCUUAGCAAUCUCCUCUUGCAGCUCAUCCUCAGUCUGCUCUGACUCUGAGUAGUCCACAAUGUGCGUGGGGACCUUCUCAGGUGUGACAUCAGCCGGGAUCGUGAUCUCUUCUGCACGAGGUGGCACCUCCUCGGGGAACUCCUCUCCCACCAGAGCCAUGAUCAGGGACGUCUUCCCCACCUGGGCCUCCCCCAGCAGCAGGAUCCGCACGUCCCGCUUCAUGGCGGCACCGCCGCCGCUCCCGGG